Long non-coding RNA from Ruditapes philippinarum (Manila clam), 510 nucleotides. RefSeq lists it as uncharacterized. NCBI's taxonomy places the organism in Eukaryota, Metazoa, Mollusca, Bivalvia, Venerida, Veneridae. The transcript is spliced from 3 exons. The record is from RefSeq and is a predicted model, not a curated record.
CCAGUUCGUGUUUUUGAUCUUUUCGUUUAUUUUAAACUUUUCACAUUUUAGUUUUACAGAGUUGUCUAUAAUCUCCCUUUCAUUGUAAAUUUGAGUGAUUAGUCAAGCAUUUGAAUUCCCGCUGUUUUUGAACCAAUUAUUGUGGUCAUGUGAUAUAGUGUUCACUCUUGCACAAGUCUUGGUACUGAGAAGUCAAAUGUGAACUAGCUUUGCUGAACUUUAUUAAUUUUAUUAUAACUAUUUUGGUGUUUCUUGGAAAUUGAAGGUUGAGUUAAUAGAGCACAGUAAGAGUCAGUGAGAGAAACAGAGGUGUAUUACCUAUACAGUAUAUGAAACCUGAUCCACAAUUGGGUUUGAGAAAUAUAUAUAUAGUAUACUCGAUCACAGCCUUUUGUUGUAUUGGACCCUUAUACUGACUGCUGGCUGGGGCCAGUGUGGUUGGCCAUUACUUUUAUGUACGUACAUGGGCUGGAGCCCACCUGGUCACACAUAGAUAAAGUGGACAAAUAA